GGGUGCAUGGUCUAGCGGUAUGAUUUUCGCUUCGCAUCCGCGAGUAUGUGAAAGGUCCCCGGUUCAAUCCCGGGUGCAUCCA
Rhypophila decipiens is the source of this 82-nucleotide non-coding RNA. NCBI's taxonomy places the organism in Eukaryota, Fungi, Ascomycota, Sordariomycetes, Sordariales, Naviculisporaceae. The record is from the annotation of a GenBank genome assembly.